Molecule: transfer RNA, 77 nt
Filed under: Citrobacter amalonaticus
Lineage: Bacteria; Pseudomonadati; Pseudomonadota; Gammaproteobacteria; Enterobacterales; Enterobacteriaceae
Description: tRNA-Ile
Rfam family: tRNA
About the family: Transfer RNA (tRNA) molecules are approximately 80 nucleotides in length.
Source: RNAcentral
ACNCUUGUAGCUCAGGUGGUUAGAGCGCACCCCUGAUAAGGGUGAGGUCGGUGGUUCAAGUCCACUCAGGCCUACCA